RNAcentral lists this ribosomal RNA (800 nucleotides) under Arthrobacter pascens. Its description in RNAcentral is "bacterial SSU rRNA". It matches the Rfam family "Bacterial small subunit ribosomal RNA", at positions 692 to 1485 of the family's 1533-position model. The record is from RNAcentral. Lineage: Bacteria; Bacillati; Actinomycetota; Actinomycetes; Micrococcales; Micrococcaceae.
AGAUAUCAGGAGGAACACCGAUGGCGAAGGCAGGUCUCUGGGCAUUAACUGACGCUGAGGAGCGAAAGCAUGGGGAGCGAACAGGAUUAGAUACCCUGGUAGUCCAUGCCGUAAACGUUGGGCACUAGGUGUGGGGGACAUUCCACGUUUUCCGCGCCGUAGCUAACGCAUUAAGUGCCCCGCCUGGGGAGUACGGCCGCAAGGCUAAAACUCAAAGGAAUUGACGGGGGCCCGCACAAGCGGCGGAGCAUGCGGAUUAAUUCGAUGCAACGCGAAGAACCUUACCAAGGCUUGACAUGGACUGGAUCGCCGCAGAAAUGUGGUUUCCCCUUUGGGGCCGGUUCACAGGUGGUGCAUGGUUGUCGUCAGCUCGUGUCGUGAGAUGUUGGGUUAAGUCCCGCAACGAGCGCAACCCUCGUUCUAUGUUGCCAGCGCGUUAUGGCGGGGACUCAUAGGAGACUGCCGGGGUCAACUCGGAGGAAGGUGGGGACGACGUCAAAUCAUCAUGCCCCUUAUGUCUUGGGCUUCACGCAUGCUACAAUGGCCGGUACAAAGGGUUGCGAUACUGUGAGGUGGAGCUAAUCCCAAAAAGCCGGUCUCAGUUCGGAUUGGGGUCUGCAACUCGACCCCAUGAAGUCGGAGUCGCUAGUAAUCGCAGAUCAGCAACGCUGCGGUGAAUACGUUCCCGGGCCUUGUACACACCGCCCGUCAAGUCACGAAAGUUGGUAACACCCGAAGCCGGUGGCCUAACCCUCUUGUGGGAGGGAGCUGUCGAAGGUGGGACUGGCGAUUGGACUAAG